This 448-nucleotide ribosomal RNA is filed under the name uncultured bacterium. RNAcentral describes it as "partial 16S ribosomal RNA". It matches the Rfam family "Bacterial small subunit ribosomal RNA", at positions 330 to 794 of the family's 1533-position model. The record is from RNAcentral.
CCCAGACUCCUACGGGAGGCAGCAGUGGGGGAUAUUGCACAAUGGGGGGAACCCUGAUGCAGCGACGCCGCGUGGGUGAAGGAGCGUUUCGGCGCGUAAAGCCCUAUCGGCAGGGAAGAAGGAGGACGGUACCUGACUAAGAAGCCCCGGCUAACUACGUGUCAGCAGCCGCGGUAAUACGUAGGGGGCAAGCGUUAUCCGGAUUUACUGGGUGUAAAGGGGGCGCAGACGGCAGCGCAAGCCAGGAGUGAAAGCCCGGGGCCCAACCCCGGGACUGCUCUUGGAACUGCGCGGCUGGAGUGCAGGAGGGGCAGGCGGAAUUCCUGGUGUAGCGGUGAAAUGCGUAGAUAUCAGGAGGAACACCGGUGGCGAAGGCGGCCUGCUGGACUGCGACUGACGUUGAGGCCCGAAAGCGUGGGGAGCAAACAGGAUUAGAUACCCCUGUAGA